CCUAACACAUGCAAGUCGAGCGGAUGAAGGGAGCUUGCUCUUGGAUUCAGCGGCGGACGGGUGAGUAAUGCCUAGGAAUCUGCCUGGUAGUGGGGGAUAACGUCCGGAAACGGGCGCUAAUACCGCAUACGUCCUGAGGGAGAAAGUGGGGGAUCUUCGGACCUCACGCUAUCAGAUGAGCCUAGGUCGGAUUAGCUAGUUGGUGGGGUAAAGGCCUACCAAGGCGACGAUCCGUAACUGGUCUGAGAGGAUGAUCAGUCACACUGGAACUGAGACACGGUCCAGACUCCUACGGGAGGCAGCAGUGGGGAAUAUUGGACAAUGGGCGAAAGCCUGAUCCAGCCAUGCCGCGUGUGUGAAGAAGGUCUUCGGAUUGUAAAGCACUUUAAGUUGGGAGGAAGGGCAGUAAGUUAAUACCUUGCUGUUUUGACGUUACCAACAGAAUAAGCACCGGCUAACUUCGUGCCAGCAGCCGCGGUAAUACGAAGGGUGCAAGCGUUAAUCGGAAUUACUGGGCGUAAAGCGCGCGUAGGUGGUUCAGCAAGUUGGAUGUGAAAUCCCCGGGCUCAACCUGGGAACUGCAUCCAAAACUACUGAGCUAGAGUACGGUAGAGGGUGGUGGAAUUUCCUGUGUAGCGGUGAAAUGCGUAGAUAUAGGAAGGAACACCAGUGGCGAAGGCGACCACCUGGACUGAUACUGACACUGAGGUGCGAAAGCGUGGGGAGCAAACAGGAUUAGAUACCCUGGUAGUCCACGCCGUAAACGAUGUCGACUAGCCGUUGGGAUCCUUGAGAUCUUAGUGGCGCAGCUAACGCG
RNAcentral lists this ribosomal RNA (817 nucleotides) under Pseudomonas aeruginosa. RNAcentral's name for it is "bacterial SSU rRNA". It matches the Rfam family "Bacterial small subunit ribosomal RNA", at positions 47 to 859 of the family's 1533-position model. The record is from RNAcentral. Lineage: Bacteria; Pseudomonadati; Pseudomonadota; Gammaproteobacteria; Pseudomonadales; Pseudomonadaceae.